Molecule: ribosomal RNA, 296 nt
Filed under: uncultured Thelephoraceae
Lineage: Eukaryota; Fungi; Basidiomycota; Agaricomycetes; Thelephorales; Thelephoraceae
Description: partial 28S ribosomal RNA
Rfam family: Eukaryotic large subunit ribosomal RNA
Source: RNAcentral
UUGAUCUCAAAUCAGGUGGGACUACCCGCUGAACUUAAGCAUAUCAAUAAGCGGAGGAAAAGAAACUAACAAGGAUUCCCCUAGUAACUGCGAGUGAAGCGGGAAGAGCUCAAAUUUAAAAUCUGGCGUGCCUCUGGCCGUCCGAGUUGUAGUCUGGAGAAGUGUUUUCCGUGUUGGACCGUGUACAAGUCUCUUGGAACAGGGCGUCAUAGAGGGUGAGAAUCCCGUCUUUGACACGGACUACCAAUGCUUUGUGAUGCGCUCUCAAAGAGUCGAGUUGUUUGGGAAUGCAGCUC